CAGGUCUCUCACUUGCAAAGCGAGUGCUCUAACCACUGAGCUACAGGACUCCAGUGGAGUCUUAACAUCGCCUUAACAUCAAGUUCGCCCACAAAUAUACAGUCAAUUCACUUUACAGUGUGUUCUGUGAAGCGCUUUGGGACGUCCUCCCGACGUGAAAAGCACUAUAUCAAAUGCAAGGAUUAUUAUUUAUUAUUAAGUGGAGUCGACACUGUCCUUACCACCCUCAAUCGGGCCAAGUUGAAAGAAUGAAUGAACAAUUGACUUAAGACAGGCAGAUUGUCAUAUCAUGGGCGAUGCUUUGCUUGAAUAUUAUAGUAAGCUAACUGAUGCUGUCAGCUCUGCUUCUCGACAGGUAUCGGUGGCGUGGGGAGAAGCGCCAAAGGGAGGACACGAUUUGGUACCAGGAGCUCAGGUGUAUGUGAAGAAGAUACAAGAAAGUAUUAUGCUUAAUUAUUAUGUUUGCUUUAAUGUUUUUGACAGUGUCAAAGGGGGGAUUGAAGGAGAACAGGAGUUCUGACCUGAAUGACUGAUAGUGACCCUGUACAAAAACUGCUCAGGCUAGUGGUCUUAUAAUCAGCAUAGAGUAGGUUAAACUGGAAUGGACCAGAUUGCUGCUCAAGGACGGGGAACAAAGACAGGAAAGAGUAACGGAAUAACAAGUUCAUAUUAGGAUAGUGGGAAGAGACGGAGUUAGGGAUAUGAGAGACAGCUGGAAGGGGGUGGUAUUAGAGUGGUCGGCACAAAACUUAAUUACAGCAUUGCGAUUGGAGCAUUAUACCUAUAUAUGGAAUGUGUGCCAAGUAUUCUUUGUUCGAACCACAAGAGUGUGCCUGGACUGUAACCUGUUUGCAGUGCGGUAAUAAAGAAGAACUUUUGAAAUCUACCUGAAGUCUGAAGAUUAUCUUACACACGUAGAGACGGUUUAAGAAGUAACCCAACAAUAAUGGAUGACGGAGAGUGAAUAUAAUCUUAAAUGGAACUGCUCACAUACACUUUGAAGUUGGCAGCAAAAUAUGAAGGUAAACAGAGGCGUAUGGAGUAAGGAAACUUGUCCAAAGUUGUGCCCUGUUGGGAAUCGAACUCAGGUCGUCUCGAUUGUGAGGUCGGUGCUCUAACCACUACGCUACAGGAGUACCAAUAAUAAAAAGGAUAGCAAGAUUUUCUUCUCUGUACCUGGUGUAUUCCUGGGGAUAUGGAGAAGAAUACCAGGUCUGGAUCUCAAACUUCCCAAACUCAAUAACAGAGGGAGAGCGGAGCUGUGGGUCUGGCGGGCCAGUGACUCCAACUUUCUGUUGGGGCAAGAAAAUAAAUAAAUGAUUAGCGUCAA
Molecule: long non-coding RNA, 1330 nt
Organism: Callorhinchus milii (elephant shark)
Lineage: Eukaryota; Metazoa; Chordata; Chondrichthyes; Chimaeriformes; Callorhinchidae
Exons: 2
Source: RefSeq, a predicted model, not a curated record